RNAcentral lists this non-coding RNA (493 nucleotides) under Comatricha laxa. The record is from RNAcentral. Lineage: Eukaryota; Evosea; Eumycetozoa; Stemonitida; Stemonitidae.
AAGCUUUUGCAUGGGGUCAAAAGGGCGGAGAGGCUUAGGCCUCGAAGCCCUAGUCAAGCUGGUCGUCGGCCUGCUGGGUCCCGCUUUUGCGAGGGGCCUGGCUCAAAGGCGGUGCAAGCAAUCAGCUGGCGAGACAACCUGGUACGAGGGAAAGUUCUCCUAUCACAAGGCCUAGCCCUGCCUCCUCCCCCCCUUAGCUGGGGGGGAAAGGCAGGGAAGCCUUGGGGGGGCCUAUCUCGUGGCGAGCCUAGCCUAGCAGCAGGGCCGUCGUAACGCGCGCAAAGGUGUCGGUCUAGGGGCUUCACUGCCCCUAGGCUUAAGGAACGUGCUAUCCCCGUGCGACGCAGCAAUGCCGAGCACGCCUGGCUGCAGAGGACUUGCACUCUGAAGCAGCCGGGAGCCCUCUAUAGCUCCCCCCCGCCGAAGCGCCCUGCCUUAGCGCAGGGCUCAGUAAAGCAGAGGGGGGGGGGCACCAGGGGGGCUGGUCCGGGAG